This 454-nucleotide ribosomal RNA is filed under the name uncultured organism. RNAcentral describes it as "bacterial SSU rRNA". It matches the Rfam family "Bacterial small subunit ribosomal RNA", at positions 346 to 794 of the family's 1533-position model. The record is from RNAcentral.
GUGCACCAGGGAGAAUUUUUCUCAAUGGGGGAAACCCUGAAGGAGCGACGCCGCGUGGAGGAUGAAGGUCUUCGGGUUGUAAACUCCUGUCAUUUGGGAACAAGGUGCGCGCGUUAACUGCGCGCGCAUUGAUAGUACCAGAAGAGGAAGAGACGGCUAACUCUGUGCCAGCAGCCGCGGUAAUACAGAGGUCUCAAGCGUUGUUCGGAUUCAUUGGGCGUAAAGGGUGCGUAGGCGGCGCGGUAAGUCGGGUGUGAAAUUUCGAGGCUUAACUUCGAAACUGCAUUCGAUACUGCCGUGCUUGAGGACUGGAGAGGAGACUGGAAUUUACGGUGUAGCGGUGAAAUGCGUAGAUAUCGUAAGGAAGACCAGUGGCGAAGGCGGGUCUCUGGACAGUUCCUGACGCUGAGGCACGAAGGCCAGGGGAGCAAACGGGAUUAGAUACCCGUGUAGU